This 482-nucleotide ribosomal RNA is filed under the name uncultured bacterium. RNAcentral's name for it is "bacterial SSU rRNA". It matches the Rfam family "Bacterial small subunit ribosomal RNA", at positions 29 to 506 of the family's 1533-position model. The record is from RNAcentral.
UUGAACGCUGGCGGCAUGCUUUACACAUGCAAGUCGAACGGGGUGGUGGGGCAACCUGCCAUUCAGUGGCGAACGGGUGAGUAAUGCAUCGGAACGUACCCCGUAGUGGGGGAUAACGCCGGGAAACCGGCGCUAAUACCGCAUAUGCUCUACGGAGGAAAGUGGGGGACCUGAGAGGGCCUCACGCUAUGGGAGCGGCCGAUGUCCGAUUAGCUUGUUGGCGGGGUAAAGGCCCACCAAGGCGACGAUCGGUAGCUGGUCUGAGAGGAUGAUCAGCCACACUGGGACUGAGACACGGCCCAGACUCCUACGGGAGGCAGCAGUGGGGAAUUUUGGACAAUGGGAGCAACCCUGAUCCAGCCAUGCCGCGUGCGGGAAGAAGGCCUUCGGGUUGUAAACCGCUUUUAGCCGGAAAGAAAAGGCAUCUCCUAAUACGGGGUGUUCUUGACGGUACCGGCGGAAUAAGCACCGGCUAACUACGU